RNAcentral lists this ribosomal RNA (1398 nucleotides) under uncultured bacterium. RNAcentral describes it as "bacterial SSU rRNA". It matches the Rfam family "Bacterial small subunit ribosomal RNA". The record is from RNAcentral.
UAGAGUUUGAUCCUGGCUCAGGAUGAACGCUAGCGGCAGGCCUAACACAUGCAAGUCGAGGGGCAGCACAUGAAGUAGCUUAAUACGGAUGGUGGCGACCGGCGGACGGGUGCGUAACGCGUAUGCAACCUGCCCUGUACAGGGGGAUAGCCCGGAGAAAUCCGGAUUAAUACCCCAUAAUAACAUUUGAUGGCAUCAUUAGAUAUUUAAAGCUUUGGCGGUACAGGAUGGGCAUGCGUUACAUUAGUUAGUUGGUGAGGUAACGGCUCACCAAGGCGACGAUGUUUAGGGGUCCUGAGAGGGUGAUCCCCCACACUGGUACUGAGACACGGACCAGACUCCUACGGGAGGCAGCAGUGAGGAAUAUUGGUCAAUGGCCGCGAGGCUGAACCAGCCAUGCCGCGUGCAGGAAGACGGCUCUAUGAGUUGUAAACUGCUUUUCCGGAGGAAUAAAAUCAUAUACGUGUAUAUGACUGAAGGUACUUUGGGAAUAAGGAUCGGCUAACUCCGUGCCAGCAGCCGCGGUAAUACGGAGGAUCCAAGCGUUAUCCGGAUUUAUUGGGUUUAAAGGGUGCGUAGGCGGGUUAAUAAGUCAGCGGUGAAAACCUUCAGCUUAACUGGAGACUUGCCGUUGAUACUGUUAGUCUUGAGUACGGUGAAGGCAGGCGGAAUGUGUAAUGUAGCGGUGAAAUGCUUAGAUAUUACCCAGAACACCGAUUGCGAAGGCAGCUUGCUGUCCCGGGACUGACGCUGAUGCACGAAAGCGUGGGUAUCAAACAGGAUUAGAUACCCUGGUAGUCCACGCAGUAAACGAUGAUCACUCGUUGUCGGCGAUAAACAGUCAGCGGCCAAGCGAAAGCGUUAAGUGAUCCACCUGGGGAGUACGGCCGCAAGGCUGAAACUCAAAGGAAUUGACGGGGGCCCGCACAAGCGGAGGAACAUGUGGUUUAAUUCGAUGAUACGCGAGGAACCUUACCCGGGCUUGAAAGUUAGUGAUUCUUGAGAAAUCAGGAUUUCCCUUCGGGGCUCUAUGCAAGGUGCUGCAUGGUUGUCGUCAGCUCGUGCCGUGAGGUGUCGGGUUAAGUCCCAUAACGAGCGCAACCCUUAUCGUCAGUUGCCAUCGGGUAAAGCCGGGGACUCUGGCGAAACUGCCGGUGUAAACCGAGAGGAAGGUGGGGAUGACGUCAAAUCAGCACGGCCCUUACGUCCGGGGCUACACACGUGUUACAAUGGUCGGUACAGAGGGCAGCUACCCUGCGAAGGGGUGCGAAUCUCGAAAGCCGGUCUCAGUUCGGAUCGGAGUCUGCAACUCGACUCCGUGAAGCUGGAUUCGCUAGUAAUCGCGCAUCAGCCAUGGCGCGGUGAAUACGUUCCCGGGCCUUGUACACACCGCCCGUC